ACCGCGGAUUUCGCGAAAUCCAGUGACUCACGCACCCACCAGCCUGCACCGAAAAUAUUACCGGAUACGGGAAAAAUGCACAAGUCAAUUAUUCUAAAAAUCAGCCCAGUCAGGGGAAAGGGAGGAACAAGGAAUUUACUAAAUGAAAAGAAGGAAAAAUGACUAGUUACUGUGUGGGAAGGCUUGGGAGGGGCUUGAAAAGUAUCAACUUGUAUGUUUUAGCUGUUGAGGCGUGCACCAAAGCAAACCAUUCCUAAACUGCAGGGAAACGCUAGGUAUCGCAAACUUUCUAUUACGUUAGCGGGGCACGGACGGCCGGAGGGGAUACGGAGCGCAAUAAAACCGCUGUGAAGUUGCCGAACGACUCACAAUCAGACGAGCAACUGUACCAAGUGCCCGGAGCGGCGGAUUAGUGCCUUUUUUGUCUUGCAAACGUGUGUGAAGGGAACAGGAAAGAAACUGCAAAGGAGCAAACGAGAAAAAAAGUCACAAAGUACUUGAAAUAUGAUCACCUUACUCUUUCUCGUCCUGUUUGUUCCUCGUGUGCUAUCUUCUUCGACACAGGUGGCGGCCGUCUCCCCCCAGGAUCCGGCGCUGCGGGUCGGUUCCAGCCUGACGGCGACCUGCUCCAUCAGCCCCGAGCUGGGGCUCCACGCCAGCACCCUGUUCUGGACACUAAACGGGAGGCGCCUACCCAGCGGCAUCUACAACCUGCUGAGCCCCACCGCGCUCACUGUCACCCUCGACCGGCUCAACGGCUCCCGGCAACAGUCAGGUGACAACCUGGUGUGUCACAACAGCGGGGGUCACGUGCUGGCAGGUUCCUGCCUCUACGUCGGCAUGCCUCCUGAGAAGCCAGUGAACCUGACCUGCUGGUCCAGGAACACUAAGGACCUCACGUGCAGGUGGACGCCUGGGGGGCAAGGAGAGACCUUCAUACGGACCAAAUACACCCUCAAGUACAAGCUUAGGUGGUACGGCCGAGAAAGGGAGUGCGAGGAUUAUAACAUCGGGCAUCCAUACACAUGCUACAUCCCGCGUGAUUUGGCCCUUUUCACACCCUACGAGAUCUGGGUGGAGGCGUCGAACCAGCUCGGAGCUGCCGUCUCUGAUGUCAUCACCUUAGAUAUCCUAGAUGUAGUGACCACGGACCCCCCUGCCGACAUCCUGGUGAGUCGCGUGGGGGAGCUGGAGGACCAGCUCAGUGUACGUUGGGGUACACCUCCCGCCCUCAAAGACUUCCUCUUUCAAGCCAAGUACCAGAUCCGCUACCGGCUAGAGGACAGCUCCGACUGGAAGGUCGUGGACGACGUUGGGAACCAGACGUCCUGCAGGCUGGCGGGUCUGAGGGCUGGCACGGUUUACUUUGUCCAGGUACGAUGCAACCCCGUGGGCAUCUAUGGCUCUAGGAAAGCUGGCAUUUGGAGCGAGUGGAGCAACCCGACGGCAGCCUCUACCCCCAACAGCGGUGAGUGGAACAGGCCAAUCGCGGUAGAGGUUACAUCGUGACAUUAGGUCAUUAUUUCUCAGUCUGAUCCUCAGGGACGCACAGACAGUUAACAUUUUUGCAUGACAUUGUAAUGAAUAAUAAUUUUAAUAAAAGGAAUAAUUUGUGGGAGGGAGCAAAAACAUGGACUAUCUGUGAGUUCCUGAGGAUCGGACUCAUUAGGUCAAAAAUGUUGUGAUGCUCUGGAAGCCCCUGGGGGGGUGGCUAUGAAGGGCUGUCACCCCGAACUUGAGUUUCUCCCAGUCGUGCUUUCAGUCUUUUAUGUGGUCUUGGCUGACUUUGAGCACUUUUAAUGGGAGUUGGGUCAUGGCAAAAUUAGCAGUGUUUUUUCCAGAGUCAACCGGCGAUUCUCGGCGCCUAAGAAAGGUGAACUUCUACUGUUAGGGAGGCGCGUGGCGUGAAACGACAGGGCAGUCCACGGUCGAUAGCGCAACCGCUAGCUAUAGAGCAUCCUAGUGGAUGUGGAGGGCAUUGGGAACAGCUGUGUCUAAGUCGCAAUGGAAAAUCAACCAGUCUGCUAUCAUAGCCAUGCUGUCUGGAUUAUUUCAUUUGGCCUUAAUGCCGGCCCGUUAUCCGAGAAACUCGGCACGAUGACGUCCAGAGAGCUACAUGAAAACACAAGGUCAGUGUCGUGCUGCUGAUGAGCCAGACGUUAGUGCACUUUGAAUGGUUUAUUUCAUGUUUAUAGGUAGGGUUUAUCCCGCAAAACAAUCUUUCUGAGGUCACCUGUAACUACUUUUGCACAAUAUCUUACCAUACGAGUCAUAGCUGAAUCAAAGAAAAUUGAAUAAUUUUUUGUGUUUCAGUAUCCAACACAAACUAAACUUAACAUAGUUUAUGGAUUUAAAUAAUUGUAAACAAAACAACAAUGGAGCCACAAGUGAUUUUGUUUCAAAUAAAAAUGUCUCCUAAGUAUAACAUUGUCAUUUUCCAUUUAAAAUAAUGAACUGCUAUCAUGGACAGUAGAAUAGAUUGUGCUACUCUUAUUUGCUACAAGGGUUUGUUCAGUCAGAAGUGGUACAUGGAUUUAGUUUUGGAAGUUUGCAUGCUAUGGAUUUAAUUUAUUCUUGUUUAAGUAAAUGGAUAAAAUGCUAAUGACACUCAGUAAGAUUUUCUUCAUGCUGCAUUGUUUACGGCUGCCCUACGGACGAGAAACGUCUCGGUUCAUCAGAUAUCGCCACACAAACAUGCAGUGACACAUCUGGCGCCUCUAGCUAGAGCGGUUGCUGAGUGGGUCAUGUGACCCCAAGUCCGGGGAGCAGAAUUCCACGCUGCGGCGGGAGCUGAAGCAGUUCUUCGGCUGGGUGCGCAAGCACGCCUACGGCUGCAGUGGCAUGAGCAUCAAGCUGUAUGAC
This is an RNA transcript of Paramormyrops kingsleyae, 2862 nucleotides long. It is a transcript of the gene named cytokine receptor-like factor 1b, with no coding region annotated. The record is from RefSeq and is a predicted model, not a curated record. Lineage: Eukaryota; Metazoa; Chordata; Actinopteri; Osteoglossiformes; Mormyridae.